AUUCUCCUCCUUCAAUUUGUAUGCCUCUUUGGUAUUUGCACAGGGGAAGGUUCUACAUGAGAGGUUCAUGCUCUUUGCUUAGGCAAAGUAGGAUGAAGAGAGACAUUACUUUUCAUUUUUGAAGUUAAUUCAUAAUAUAUUUUUAGUCUCUCUGUUUUAUGGAGUGUAUGUGGGGAGUUCUGGUUUUCCUGUAGAACACUUGCACUGCAGAAGCUGUGAAGAAGAGCUGUGAAGAUAUCAGCAAUACCUGCCAGCUUUUAAUCUUGUCCCAGAGGUGUCGAAAUUCAUCAAAGUUUAUCUUCCCUGAGCCAUCUGUCUGUGAUGCAAACAUUCAGAUUAUCAGUACUGACAAUAUGUAGAGAUCAUCUCUGUGAAAAGUUCAGCUCGUUAAAGUCUCAGAUGCAAUGUCCAUGGAAAGGGAGAAUUUGAUGGGAAGAAAUGCAAAGGAAACUUCGAUAUUCAGUGUUUUGAAUCCAUGGAUUAGUUGAUUUAGGAGCUGUUGUGGCCAGGCUGCUUUGAUGGCAGAGACAGGGAUCAAUUGCAUACUCACAUCUCCUGCAAUCUGUCGGAAAAUAUUCCUGAACUGUUUUUGCUCUUCACUCUCCUCAUGAGCUUUUGUUGAAGAACGCUGAAAAGAGACCAGCAGAGAUACAUCCUGAGUCCAGUGGAGAAGAGAAAGGGCCUGGAUGGCUCACAUGCCGUUGUGUGAGGGAUCAUCUUAGUAAAUUUGGAGGCUUUUGGAGGAAUGGGUUGUCCUCCCAUUCCUUUCCUCAUGUUUUUAUUCAUUCUGUUCCUUAAAACUGCCAAGUAUUUAAUUUUAUCUGUUCAUACCUUUGCUCUCUUUUCUAUAUGAAGGAGCCUAAAUAAUUACUUCCACUGGCAGUUAUCUUCUAAUUUUUUGUACCAAAAUAUUGCAAAGGAGAAGUUUGGAGCAGAAGAGGCAUAUCAGAGAAUCAAAGAAUGGUUUUGGUUGGAAGGAACCUUAAAGAUUAUCUCGUUCAAGCCCACCAGCCAUGGGCAGGGACACAAUAUCUGCAUCACAGCUUCCCUGUAGGCUAUCAAUGACCAUGUGAGAACUCUUUAUGAUGUGGGGGGCCCUUGCUGAAGACAAGUAACAUAUAAGACAGAGGAAAAUGAGGAACAAGCUUUAUCAGACACAUGGAAAGUGCAACUCUGAACUCUGAAGCUGAUACUGAAAAGGGAAAUGAAAGUUAUACGUAACAAAGUUAAUUUCUUGGCUUAGUUCCUGUUUUUCUUUGUCUAAAUGCAGAGGAAAGUUUAGGUUGGUUCCCACUUUGCCAUCUGCAUGCUCUGGUUGUCAUGCAGCAGAACAGCACUCUCCCUGUAAGCAGAUGCUCCAGCCAUGCCUCCAGAUGCCACAAGCCUGGAUGUGGGAUCUGGCUGUUAGAUAUGUUGUCUCACCUACCUGCAGGCAGAAACCCUGAAUUUGCUACUCUGGUUUCCUCCUCUCUGGUAGUGAGGGAAAAGAGGGGGAGUGCUGGAGCUCCUGGGUUUACCUGUCCUUUAUCCUCUGGCCAACAGGGACUAGGAUAGAGUUGUGUAGUUUGUACCAGGAGGGGCUGUGGUCACUGCCAGGAGCUUCUACAGCCCCUUGGGUGAAGUUUGUGCAUGUCCCCUCUGUAAAGCAGUAGCGCCUCAAGGGGCUGAGCAAGAGUGAAUUGAAUGUGGGGAAGGAAUCUCUCACAACUGGGAUUCUUGUAUAAGAGAGCAACCAGGAGAUCCUGCAGGAUUGUUGAAUAACUGAAGGGACAGUCUGUCUGUGCUCAUGCCCAUUACAUCCACAUAAACCAGAUGUGAGUCAUGUUAAGAUUUGAUGAGAAGCUGUUUAGUGUCUCAGGACACCUUUUUGUCCAAUUCCUGUGCCCUCCCCAGCCACUCUUUUGUGUCAGACUGAGCCUUAUUCUCCCCUCUGCCACUUGCUACAGAAACCUUUUUCUCAUCUGCUUGGGUUUUUUCACCAUCUUUGCCAGCAUUUUCAUCUGCUGUCAGCUCCUUAUUGCUGUUUGCUCUGUCAGAAACGAAGAUGAUAGGCUAGAAGAAGAAGAGAGUGAAAGAGAAAUGGAAAUUACAUGAGGAAUAGUGGAAAGAAAAGUAUUUGGUCACAUGCAUUCCGUGGAAGGUGCAUGCAACAACAACUCCUGCUCGUGAAAGCAUGACAAGAGAAGCCAUUUCAUGGAAUGAAAGAAAAGAAAGGAUAACAAAAAACAAAAACAAAACAAACAACAAAAAAUAGAAACAUUUCUGCAGUACUGCUCUCAUGCAAGGAAAAAAAACCCCAAAAAACAAAACACUCACCCAAAACCUGCAAAAGUCUCUUUGCAAAAUAGUGCAAUUUCUGGACUCUAGAUUUCCUUGUCAGAAAGAUAUAAUUGAACAUGUUUGGUUUUUUGUUUUUGUUCGGAGUUCUUUGUGUGGUUUUGUUUUGGUGUUUUAGUUAGGUUUCUUGUUUGUUUUUGGGGAGUUUCCCCCAUUUUUAAACAAAAUAAGCCCCCCAGAUUCUCAUCACUUAAACUGAUGAGCUUACCCCUCAAUGAAGGACAGUAGCACUGAAAACAAACAAAAUAUGACUUGUACACAGAAAAGAAGUUAUUUGUGUAGGAGCUUGUUAGUUAUGUUCUUUCUCUGUAUUGAUUCUUCAAGCACUCAGCUGUAAGCAGCCUCGUUCCAUUGUUCUGGUUUGGUGCAUUUAAACAAGGAAAAACUGCUACAUGAUGUGAAUGUAUUAAUCUAGGGUAUUAAUUACAAUCAGCUUGUCUUGGGAUUAAAAUAUCUGAUUACAUUUUUAAGGUCCAAAAUAUGUUGUGUCGAAUCAAAAAUAGAAUCCUGGACUUUGGUGAACAGAAACUUCAGGAAAGGGGAGUGGCUGCUGCACUAGACAAUGGAAUGCAAGUGUGAGGGCACAUGUCUGGAGAGAGGCUUUUCACUGGCAAGGAGUGUUGGGUUGCCUGUGAAAGGAGCAGAAAGGAAGAACAGUCUGAACAACCCAGAGGAUUGAGCUGAUAAAUCUGAACGGUUUGUUACGCUUUCACCACCCCUUUGAGUGAGAGGGGUAAGGGGUAUAUGAUGCUAAUGCUAUUUCAUUAGAACCUAAUGUAGGAAGCCAAAUCUUUGCUGCAUGCAAAUGGCCUCAUAUCCAGUGCCCUUCAACCAACCUAACUAGGUCACUUUCCAGACACAGAGAAAAUUAUAAUACCAAGAAACUCUUCCCCUGCUCAUGCGCUGCACAUGCUCCUUGCCUUUAGGGCACUUAGCACAUUGCACAGGUACCUACCUUGCCCUUUUUCUUCUGUGUGAAGAGACAAAAUUAAAAAGUGUUUGAUCAGAUUAUGCAGAGCUGAUGGCAAACUUUUAUUUUUUUAUUUUUCCCUUUCUCAUAUUUGUUUUUUCCAGUUCCUAUACUCAUACAAAUAUUCCUAUAUCUAUACAGCUUUCAAAUGACUAAAAAGGAGGGAACAUGCACACACCAAGAAAUGGGAUACUGAAGGAAACACAUUGCAGAAAUCAUAGCAAAACUGUGUUUCAACUCAUCUGAGGCUUUUGCUUGAAUAAAAUCUCUUUAGCUCUCAGUAUUCCUUUUCUUUUUCCCAACCUGCCAGUGCAGUGGAGAUUGAACGUCUAUGCCCAUAGAUCAAUGGUAUCUGAAGGGACAAUUUAACUCCCUCAUAUCUGGACUUUUCACUAUUUUUCACUAUGACAGCAAACAAAAGGGAAACAUUUCUGAGUAAGGUUUGAUGGAACUCAAUUCUGUGCAAAAGCAUUUCUUCUGAUUUUUUUUUUUUUUUUUUUUCCCAAGACUAAUUGUACUGUUAGCUCUAGUGUUUUCCCACAAAACUCCAGGGCAAGGAGUUAAAACUUGUCAUGGAUGCUAUUUUGAAUCAGAGUGCUAUUAGGAUCUAUUUUCAGAAAGCAGGUACUUCAAAAUAAGGUAGUUUUUUUCUUUAUUAGAUGAGAUACCAAUUCCACAAAGAAAGUAUCUCAGGUCACAGAGCUAGGCCUCCCUUGGUAAAUGGAUAUUCUCCAUUGAUGGAGGCAAAGACAAUGUUUAGCAUCCAGUUUCUUUAUGCCAGGACCACAUUUCAAAUCUGCAAAAGCAUUUUGGUCUGAAUCAAGUUCAGAAAGUAGUGUACAUAAAGAAGUGUCAAUGGAAGUAUCUUGGUGAGAAAAAGAUGAGAAUUUGUGAUAAACAUGCUGUUAUGGGGCUGCAAAUGAUUUUUUGCUGUAAGUUCCCCUAGGUAUCGUGUCCCCCUUCUCUCAACCCCUAUACACAAAAGGGGACCUGGACAGUACUUACCAAUGGACGCUCUGCCUCAAUCAUGUUUUCAACCUCCCUAAGCAGAAAGCAGAAAAUAAAUAAA
This is a long non-coding RNA of Hirundo rustica (Barn swallow), 4376 nucleotides long. RefSeq lists it as uncharacterized. The transcript has 3 exons. The record is from RefSeq and is a predicted model, not a curated record. Lineage: Eukaryota; Metazoa; Chordata; Aves; Passeriformes; Hirundinidae.